GAUGAACGCUAGCUACAGGCUUAACACAUGCAAGUCGAGGGGAAACGAUAGAGAAAGCUUGCUUUUUCUAGGCGUCGACCGGCGCACGGGUGAGUAACGCGUAUCCAACCUGCCCAUCACUUGGGGAUAACCUUGCGAAAGUAAGACUAAUACCCAAUGACGUCUCUAGAAGACAUCUGAAAGAGAUUAAAGAUUUAUCGGUGAUGGAUGGGGAUGCGUCUGAUUAGCUUGUUGGCGGGGUAACGGCCCACCAAGACCGCGAUCGGUAGCCGACCUGAGAGGUUGACCGGCCACAUUGGGACUGAGAUACGGCCCAGACUCCUACGGGAGGCAGCAGUGGGGAAUAUUGGGCAAUGGGCGCAAGCCUGACCCAGCAACGCCGCGUGAAGGAAGAAGGCUUUCGGGUUGUAAACUUCUUUUAAGUGGGAAGAGUAGAAGACGGUACCACUUGAAUAAGCCACGGCUAACUACGUG
Molecule: ribosomal RNA, 474 nt
Filed under: uncultured bacterium
Lineage: Bacteria
Description: bacterial SSU rRNA
Rfam family: Bacterial small subunit ribosomal RNA
Source: RNAcentral